Long non-coding RNA from Gavialis gangeticus (Gharial), 91 nucleotides. RefSeq lists it as uncharacterized. The record is from RefSeq and is a predicted model, not a curated record. The transcript is spliced from 3 exons. Lineage: Eukaryota; Metazoa; Chordata; Crocodylia; Gavialidae.
UGCGGCCCUUGGUGGCUUGCCAAUACCCAGUAAGCGGCCCUCCGCCUGAAAUAAUUGCUCACCCCUGAUCUAGAGUAUGUGGCCACAGGAA